This 29-nucleotide small RNA is filed under the name Bombyx mori (domestic silkworm). RNAcentral describes it as "ovarian small RNA-38303". Lineage: Eukaryota; Metazoa; Arthropoda; Insecta; Lepidoptera; Bombycidae. The record is from RNAcentral.
UUUCCUCGAACAAACAGCAAUUCAGAAUC